Molecule: transfer RNA, 74 nt
Filed under: Actinomycetota bacterium
Lineage: Bacteria; Bacillati; Actinomycetota
Also listed under: 1 other name
Description: tRNA-Pro
Rfam family: tRNA
About the family: Transfer RNA (tRNA) molecules are approximately 80 nucleotides in length. Their secondary structure includes four short double-helical elements and three loops (D, anti-codon, and T loops).
Source: RNAcentral
CGGGACGUAGCGCAGCCUGGUAGCGCGCCUGCUUUGGGAGCAGGAGGCCGCGAGUUCGAAUCUCGCCGUCCCGA